CAAAUUUCAACAACCGAUUUUUUGGCUUUUGCCUCGAUGAAGAACGCAGCGAAAUUCGAUAAGUAAUGGGAAUUGCCGAAUUCCGGGAAUCCUUGAAUUUUUGAACGCCCCCUGCGGUCCUUGGUUUUUCGAGGAGCCAGCCUGUUUGAGGGUCCUUA
Molecule: ribosomal RNA, 158 nt
Filed under: uncultured Termitomyces
Lineage: Eukaryota; Fungi; Basidiomycota; Agaricomycetes; Agaricales; Lyophyllaceae
Description: 5.8S ribosomal RNA
Rfam family: 5.8S ribosomal RNA
About the family: 5.8S ribosomal RNA (5.8S rRNA) is a component of the large subunit of the eukaryotic ribosome. It is transcribed by RNA polymerase I as part of the 45S precursor that also contains 18S and 28S rRNA.
Source: RNAcentral